Molecule: small RNA, 28 nt
Filed under: Bombyx mori (domestic silkworm)
Lineage: Eukaryota; Metazoa; Arthropoda; Insecta; Lepidoptera; Bombycidae
Description: ovarian small RNA-11990
Source: RNAcentral
AGCAACAAUAUGGGGCGAUAUCCCGCGG